Alligator mississippiensis (American alligator) is the source of this 681-nucleotide long non-coding RNA. RefSeq lists it as uncharacterized. The transcript is spliced from 3 exons. Lineage: Eukaryota; Metazoa; Chordata; Crocodylia; Alligatoridae. The record is from RefSeq and is a predicted model, not a curated record.
GCCAGGAAAAGUACUGGAAGCUAUAAUAUAAGGCUGCAUCCUGAGGUACAAGAGCAUAACUUGAGCAUUAGUGGUUGUGAUGCUUGUUGCCUGCAGCCCCCACUUUGUAUUCCCCCUCCCAGGCCUCUUCUGGCUCCUGUCAUGCUGCUGGAGUGCAGCUGAUCUGGUGUCUCUGCUUAUCUUGAGGUGGCUGGAGGAAGAAAUCUCUCUAGGAAGCACCAGAACAUAUACCAGUAAUGAUGAGGCCAUAUGGAUGAGCUUGUGACAGAGGCAGGAAGGGAGCACAUGGCAGUGAGUGAGGUGUCCUGGCAGAACAAUCAUGCCACCCCCUUUGGCAUGGCUUUCUACAGAGAUGGUACUGUUUGGGUUGUUGUCUUUUUUUUCAUUCUUCCCUGCUUGUCAGCAGGGAGCAUAUGGUGAGGAAUGGGGGAAGAGAAGGCAAAAUCCUGAUAUCACUUCCACUCCGAACAAAAGCUAGGCAUCCCCUACAAAAGCCAAAAUCUAUCCUGAUAGAAUUGCCCUGUGGGAACAGAGCUGUCUCCUUGUUCCCAUAACGGAGUAACUUACAUGUCCACAGGAGGUAAUGGAAUUGCUCCUAUGCAAUUGUUGGGCAACUCAGAGUUGAUCACAAGCUGUACUUUGGUUGUCCACUAGGUAAAAUAAAAUUCUGUUCAAAAUGUA